This 521-nucleotide ribosomal RNA is filed under the name uncultured bacterium. Its description in RNAcentral is "bacterial SSU rRNA". It matches the Rfam family "Archaeal small subunit ribosomal RNA", at positions 345 to 866 of the family's 1478-position model. The record is from RNAcentral.
AACCUCCGCAAUGUGAGAAAUCGCGACGGGGGGAUCCCAAGUGCCAUUCUUAACGGGAUGGCUUUUCAUUAGUGUAAAGAGCUUUUGGAAUAAGGGCUGGGCAAGACCGGUGCCAGCCGCCGCGGUAACACCGGCAGCUCUAGUGGUAGCAGUUUUUAUUGGGCCUAAAGCGUCCGUAGCCGGUUUAAUAAGUCCCUGGUGAAAUCCUGUAGCUUAACUGUGGGAAUUGCUGGAGAUACUAUUAGACUUGAGACCGGGAGAGGUUAGAGGUACUCCCAGGGUAGAGGUGAAAUUCUGUAAUCCUGGGAGGACCGCCUGUUGCGAAGGCGUCUAACUGGAACGGUUCUGACGGUGAGGGACGAAAGUUAGGGGCGCGAACCGGAUUAGAUACCCGGGUAGUCCUAACUGUAAACGAUGCGGACUUGGUGUUGGGGUGGCUUUGAGCUGCUCCAGUGCCGAAGGGAAGCUGUUAAGUCCGCCGCCUGGGAAGUACGGUCGCAAGACUAAAACUUAAAGGAAUU